CAUGCUUGAUCCUGCCAGUAGUCAUAUGUUUGUCUCAAAGAUUAAGCCAUGCAUGUGCAAGUUUAAACUGUCUCAGUGAAACUGCAUGCGAAUGGCUCAUUAAAUCAGUUAUGGUCCCUUUGAUCGCCACAUCCUACAUAGAUAACUGGUAAUUCUAGAGCUAAUACAUGGGGAAGAAGCGCCGACCUCACGGUCUGCCGUGCAUUUCGCCCCGGUCCCUUUGGUGACUCUGGAUAACCCAGCCGAUCGCACGGUCUUCGCACCGGCGACAGAUCAUUCGAAUGUCUGCCCUAUCAACUUUCGAUGGUAGGUUCUGUGUCUACCAUGGUGGCAACGGGUGACGGGGAAUCAGGGUUCGGUUCCGGAGAGGGAGCCUGAGAAACGGCUACCACAUCCAAGGAAGGCAGCAGGCGCGCAAAUUACCCACUCCCGAUUCGGGGAGGUAGUGACGAAAAAUAACAAUACGGGACUCUUUCGAGGAAUUGGAAUGGGUACAAUUUAAAUCCUUUAACGAGGAUCUAUUGGAGGGCAAGUCUGGUGCCAGCAGCUGCGGUAAUUCCAGCUCCAAUAGCGUAUAAUAAAGUUGUUGCGGUUAAAAAGCUCGUUAUUGGAUCUUGGGACCGGGCUUGCGGUCCGCCGCGAGGCGUGUCACUGCUCGUCGUCCCGGUCCUCCCCACCGGAUUCUCCCUGGUGCUUUAACUGAGUGCCUCAGGGUGCCGGAGCGUUUACUUUGAAAAAAUUAGAGUGUUCAAAGCAGGCCUGGCGCCUGGAUAGUGUUUCAUGGAUUAAUGGAAUAGGACCUCGGUUCUAUUUCGUUGGUAUAGUUUCAUAAGGUUGGUAAGACACUGAGUAAAGAGACUCUUUAUUUUCGCACAACCAAGAUACAUUCGCCUGUAAUCCAAUCACGCAUUUGUGUAGAUAUGCAAAUAUUGUACGCUUGGGAAGGCAUCUGUAGCAGCGAAUGCCUGGCAUCUAAGCGUUCAUCAUGAAAGCACAGCUGAGAUGGGCUGGCCAUCUGGUUCGGAUGGACGAAGAUAGUAUUCUACUGUGAACUUGCUUCCGGCUCGAGAAAGGUCGGACGCCCAUACAAGCGCUACAAGGACUCGCUGAAGUCGUAUCUCACAGCAUGCAGCAUUCCACAUCGGGAUUUGAAAUCCACCGCUGCUGACAGAAGUGCCUGGCGCCAUACUGUUCGCCAAGGAGUGAAGACCUUCGAGGAGAACAGACUCGACGAGCUUGACUGGAAACGACGAGACAAGACCCCAGCGCCACCGUCGUAUGCCCAGUAUGCGGACGUACCUGUGCUUCAGCAUUUGGGCUGCGAUCACAUCUAAAACGCCAUUGACGUCAUCAUCGCUUCGCGAUGGACAUCCAAGAUGUAGCAGCGACACCUGUGCUGCAGUGCAAUGUGAACCAGUCAGAAUUGCCCUGAGGAAAGUGACAGACGGUCACCGAAACGUCGGCUGAAUAAAAGGCUUUA
Molecule: ribosomal RNA, 1480 nt
Filed under: Branchiostoma belcheri (Belcher's lancelet)
Lineage: Eukaryota; Metazoa; Chordata; Leptocardii; Amphioxiformes; Branchiostomatidae
Description: bacterial SSU rRNA
Rfam family: Eukaryotic small subunit ribosomal RNA (bases 2-890)
Source: RNAcentral